GCCAGGGGGGGGUGCUUACACAUGCAGUCGAACGAUGAAGCCCAGCUUGCUGGGUGGAAGAGUGGCGAACGGGUGAGUAACACGUGAGUAACCUGCCCUUCACUCUGGGAUAAGCGCUGGAAACGGCGUCUAAUACUGGAUACGACCCUUACAGGCAUCUGUUGGGGGUGGAAAGAUUUAUCGGUGAAGGAUGGGCUCGCGGCCUAUCAGGUAGUUGGUGAGGUAACGGCUCACCAAGCCGACGACGGGUAGCCGGCCUGAGAGGGUGACCGGCCACACUGGGACUGAGACACGGCCCAGACUCCUACGGGAGGCAGCAGUGGGGAAUAUUGCACAAUGGGCGAAAGCCUGAUGCAGCAACGCCGCGUGAGGGAUGACGGCCUUCGGGUUGUAAACCUCUUUUAGUAGGGAAGAAGCGAAAGUGACGGUACCUGCAGAAAAAGCACCGGCUAACUACGUGCCAGCAGCCGCGGUAAUACGUAGGGUGCAAGCGUUGUCCGGAAUUAUUGGGCGUAAAGAGCUCGUAGGCGGCUUGUCGCGUCUGCUGUGAAAACCCGGAGCUCAACUCCGGGCCUGCAGUGGGUACGGGCAGGCUAGAGUGCGGUAGGGGAGAUUGGAAUUCCUGGUGUAGCGGUGGAAUGCGCAGAUAUCAGGAGGAACACCGAUGGCGAAGGCAGAUCUCUGGGCCGCUACUGACGCUGAGGAGCGAAAGCAUGGGGAGCGAACAGGAUUAGAUACCCUGGUAGUCCAUGCCGUAAACGUUGAGAACUAGAUGUAGGGCCUGUUCCACGGGUUCUGUGUCGUAGCUAACGCAUUAAGUUCCCCGCCUGGGGAGUACGGCCGCAAGGCUAAAACUCAAAGGAAUUGACGGGGGCCCGCACAAGCGGCGGAGCAUGCGGAUUAAUUCGAUGCAACGCGAAGAACCUUACCAAGGCUUGACAUAUAGAAAAACACUGCAGAGAUGCAGGACUCUUUGGACACUUCUAUACGGGUGGUUGCAUGGUUGUCGUCAGCUCGUGUCGUGAGAUGUUCGGUUAAGUCCGGCAACGAGCCCAACCCUCGUCCUAUGUUGC
This 1073-nucleotide ribosomal RNA is filed under the name uncultured bacterium. RNAcentral's name for it is "bacterial SSU rRNA". It matches the Rfam family "Bacterial small subunit ribosomal RNA", at positions 35 to 1118 of the family's 1533-position model. The record is from RNAcentral.